GAUUGCCUCAGUAACGGGCGAGUGAAGCGGCAACAGCUCAAAUUUGAAAUCUGGCCCUAGGCCCGAGUUGUAAUUUGCAGAGGAUGCUUUUGGUGCGGUGCCUUCCAAGUUCCCUAGAACGGGACGCCAGAGAGGGUGAGAGCCCCGUACAGUUGGACACCAAGCCUUUGUAAAGCUCCUUCGACGAGUCGAGUAGUUUGGGAAUGCUGCUCAAAAUGGGAGGUAUAUUUCUUCUAAAGCUAAAUACCGGCCAGAGACCGAUAGCGCACAAGUAGAGUGAUCGAAAGAUGAAAAGCACUUUGAAAAGAGGGUUAAACAGCACGUGAAAUUGUUAAAAGGGAAGCGCUUGUGACCAGACUUGCGUCCGGUGAAUCACCCAGCUCUCGCGGCUGGGGCACUUCGCCGGCUCAGGCCAGCAUCAGCUCGCUGUCGGGGACAAAAGCUUCAGGAACGUAGCUCUCUUCGGGGAGUGUUAUAGCCUGUUGCAUAAUACCCUUCGGCGGGCUGAGGUACGCGCUCCGCAAGGAUGCUGGCAUAAUGGUCAUCAGCGACCCGUCUUGAAACACGGACCAAGGAGUCAACCUUAUGUGCGAGUGUUCGGGUGUCAAACCCCUACGCGUAAUGAAAGUGAACGCAGGUGAGAGCUUCGGCGCAUCAUCGACCGAUCCUGAUGUUCUCGGAUGGAUUUGAGUAAGAGCAUAUAGGGUUGGACCCGAAAGAAGGUGAACUAUGCGUGUAUAGGGUGAAGCCAGAGGAAACUCUGGUGGAGGCUCGCAGCGGUUCUGACGUGCAAAUCGAUCGUCAAAUAUGCGCAUGGGGGCGAAAGACUAAUCGAACCUUCUAGUAGCUGGUUUCCGCCGAAGUUUCCCUCAGGAUAGCAGUGUUGAACUCAGUUUUAUGAGGUAAAGCGAAUGAUUA
This 918-nucleotide ribosomal RNA is filed under the name Colletotrichum sp. Its description in RNAcentral is "partial large subunit ribosomal RNA". It matches the Rfam family "Eukaryotic large subunit ribosomal RNA", at positions 73 to 1023 of the family's 3401-position model. Lineage: Eukaryota; Fungi; Ascomycota; Sordariomycetes; Glomerellales; Glomerellaceae. The record is from RNAcentral.